Cryptomeria japonica (Japanese cedar) is the source of this 424-nucleotide long non-coding RNA. RefSeq lists it as uncharacterized. The transcript has 4 exons. NCBI's taxonomy places the organism in Eukaryota, Viridiplantae, Streptophyta, Pinopsida, Cupressales, Cupressaceae. The record is from RefSeq and is a predicted model, not a curated record.
UACAAUUAUCAUCUCCACCCGAUAUAUGAUUUCCCUGAACCUAUUAAAGAUUUAUUUUAUGUAGAUGGAUCUCUUAAGUUCAAUACUGGCCAAUGCCAUGGAAGUGCUUUAUCAUUUAAGUGAGUGCAGAAGAUGUAGUCCAAAUGGAGGAGUAUGAUUUGAGAUUGAAAGCAAAAUAAUAAUGUUAGUGUCUACAAAUGAUCAGAAUAGACUGGCUAUUCAUCACCGACUGAGAGUAGUAUAAUGAAUGAUCUCAAUCUGACCAUUUCUGAGUUUUCUUUAUUUGGAUCACUGUCCAAUGUUGGGGCCAUGAUUGGGGCCGUGGUCAGUGGGCUACUUGCUGAUUAUAUUGGAAGAAAAGGGGCACUGGUAGUAGCCUCAAUACCCAAUAUUCUAGGGUGGAUAGCCAUUUGUUUGGCAAAGG